This 1392-nucleotide ribosomal RNA is filed under the name uncultured organism. Its description in RNAcentral is "bacterial SSU rRNA". It matches the Rfam family "Bacterial small subunit ribosomal RNA". The record is from RNAcentral.
UGGCUCAGGAUGAACGCUGGCGGCGUGCCUAAUACAUGCAAGUCGAACGAGAAGUCACGACUUCGGUUGUGAUGGAGAGUGGCGCACGGGUGCGUAACACGUAGCUGACCUGCCCUUCGCAGGGGGAUAACACAGCGAAAGUUGUGCUAAUACCGCGUAAGCUGGUGCUAGUUAGAGCGGCAUCAGUAAAGAGUUAUCGGCGAAGGAGGGGGCUGCGGUCCAUCAGCUUGUUGGUGAGGUAACAGCUCACCAAGGCGAAGACGGAUAGGGGGCCUGAGAGGGUGACCCCCACACUGGAACUGAGACACGGUCCAGACUCCUACGGGAGGCAGCAGUAAGGAAUAUUGCACAAUGGGCGCAAGCCUGAUGCAGCGACGCCGCGUGAGGGAUGAAGGGUUUCGGCUCGUAAACCUCUUUUCUGUGUGAAGAGCAAGGACGGUAGCACAGGAAUAAGUCUCGGCUAACUACGUGCCAGCAGCCGCGGUAAAACGUAGGAGGCGAGCGUUAUCCGGAAUUACUGGGCGUAAAGCGCACGUAGGCGGCGCGCAAAGUGGUGCGUGAAAGCUCCCGGCUCAACUGGGAGAGGACGUACCAAACUGGCGUGCUAGAGAGAGAUAGAGGUCGACAGAAUUCCGGGUGGAGUGGUGAAAUGCGUAGAGAUCCGGAGGAAUACCAGAGGCGAAGGCGGUCGGCUGGGUCUCAUCUGACGCUGAGGUGCGAAAGUGUGGGGAGCGAACGGGAUUAGAAACCCCGGUAGUCCACACCGUAAACGAUGCAUACUAGUUGUUAGACGCCUACGGGCGUUGAGUGACGAAGCCAACGCGUUAAGUAUGCCGCCUGGGGAGUACGGUCGCAAGGCUAAAACUCAAAGGAAUUGACGGGGGCCCGCACAAGCAGCGGAGCGUGUGGUUUAAUUCGAGGCUACGCGAAGAACCUUACCUGGGCUUGACAUGCUAGUAGUACUCAUGUGGAAACACGUGGGGACCUUCGGGAGCUAGCACAGGUGCUGCAUGGCUGUCGUCAGCUCGUGCCGUGAGGUGUUCGGUUAAGUCCGAAAACGAGCGCAACCCCUAGCGUUAGUUACAAGUGUCUAACGCGACUGCCCGGGGAAACUGGGAGCAAGGUGGGGAUGACGUCAAGUCAGCAUGGCCUUUAUGUCCAGGGCGACACACACGCUACAAUGGCCGGUACAAUAGGCAGCCAAGCCGCGAGGUGGAGCGAAUCCAAAAAAACCGGUCUCAGUUCGGAUUGUAGGCUGCAACUCGCCUGCAUGAAGUCGGAGUUGCUAAUAAACGCGGAUCAGCCACGCCGCGUUGAAUACGUUCCCGGGCAUUGUACACACCGCCCGUCACGUCAUGGAAGCUGGUCACGCCUGAAGUCGGUGAGCGAACC